CUACGGGGGGCUCCAGUGGGGAAUAUUGCACAAUGGAGGAAACUCUGAUGCAGCAACGCCGCGUGGAGGAUGACACUUUUCGGAGCGUAAACUCCUUUUAUAUAGGAAGAAGAUGACGGUACUAUAUGAAUAAGCGCCGGCUAACUCCGUGCCAGCAGCCGCGGUAAUACGGAGGGCGCAAGCGUUACUCGGAAUCACUGGGCGUAAAGAGCGUGUAGGCGGAUUAAAAAGUCAGAAGUGAAAUCCUAUAGCUUAACUAUAGAACUGCUUCUGAAACUCUUAAUCUAGAAUAUGGGAGAGGUAGAUGGAAUUUCUGGUGUAGGGGUAAAAUCCGUAGAGAUCAGAAGGAAUACCGAUUGCGAAGGCGAUCUACUAGAACAUUAUUGACGCUGAGACGCGAAAGCGUGGGGAGCAAACAGGAUUAGAUACCCGUUAGUC
RNAcentral lists this ribosomal RNA (438 nucleotides) under uncultured bacterium. RNAcentral's name for it is "partial 16S ribosomal RNA". It matches the Rfam family "Bacterial small subunit ribosomal RNA", at positions 339 to 795 of the family's 1533-position model. The record is from RNAcentral.